Molecule: ribosomal RNA, 1232 nt
Filed under: Penicillium sp. F10 MAN-2013
Lineage: Eukaryota; Fungi; Ascomycota; Eurotiomycetes; Eurotiales; Aspergillaceae
Description: partial 18S ribosomal RNA
Rfam family: Eukaryotic small subunit ribosomal RNA
Source: RNAcentral
AGAUUAGCCAUGCAUGUCUAAGUAUAAGCACUUUAUACUGUGAAACUGCGAAUGGCUCAUUAAAUCAGUUAUCGUUUAUUUGAUAGUACCUUACUACAUGGAUACCUGUGGUAAUUCUAGAGCUAAUACAUGCUAAAAACCCCGACUUCAGGAAGGGGUGUAUUUAUUAGAUAAAAAACCAACGCCCUUCGGGGCUCCUUGGUGAAUCAUAAUAACUUAACGAAUCGCAUGGCCUUGCGCCGGCGAUGGUUCAUUCAAAUUUCUGCCCUAUCAACUUUCGAUGGUAGGAUAGUGGCCUACCAUGGUGGCAACGGGUAACGGGGAAUUAGGGUUCGAUUCCGGAGAGGGAGCCUGAGAAACGGCUACCACAUCCAAGGAAGGCAGCAGGCGCGCAAAUUACCCAAUCCCGAUACGGGGAGGUAGUGACAAUAAAUACUGAUACGGGGCUCUUUCGGGUCUCGUAAUUGGAAUGAGAACAAUUUAAAUCCCUUAACGAGGAACAAUUGGAGGGCAAGUCUGGUGCCAGCAGCCGCGGUAAUUCCAGCUCCAAUAGCGUAUAUUAAAGUUGUUGCAGUUAAAAAGCUCGUAGUUGAACCUUGGGUCUGGCUGGCCGGUCCGCCUCACCGCGAGUACUGGUCCGGCUGGACCUUUCCUUCUGGGGAACCUCAUGGCCUUCACUGGCUGUGGGGGGAACCAGGACUUUUACUGUGAAAAAAUUAGAGUGUUCAAAGCAGGCCUUUGCUCGAAUACAUUAGCAUGGAAUAAUAGAAUAGGACGUGCGGUUCUAUUUUGUUGGUUUCUAGGACCGCCGUAAUGAUUAAUAGGGAUAGUCGGGGGCGUCAGUAUUCCGCUGUCARAGGUGAAAUUCUUGGAUUUGCGGAARACUAACUACUGCRAAAGCAUUCSCCAAGGAUGUUUUCAUUAAUCAGGGAACGAAAGUUAGGGGAUCSAARACRAUCARAUACCGUCSUAGUCUUAACCAUAACUAUGCCGACWAGGGAUCGRAMGGGAUUYUWUGAUGACCCGUUCGGCMCCUUACSAGAAAUCAAAGUUUUGGUYKGGGGGGRAGUWUGGYCGCAGGSUKAAACUUAGGAAAUUKRCGGAGGCAUCACAAGGSGKGGAGCBGSGGBCUAUUUKMCYYCMMMMMGGGGAAAMYCMCMGBUCAGACAAAUAGGAUGMMAGAUUKRARCYYUCYUGWWYUUUUGGRDGGUGGUGVAUGAUCGGYGUCUCGU